RNAcentral lists this unclassified non-coding RNA (588 nucleotides) under Hevea brasiliensis (rubber tree). The record is from RNAcentral. Lineage: Eukaryota; Viridiplantae; Streptophyta; Magnoliopsida; Malpighiales; Euphorbiaceae.
AAAUCCAGCAUCUGAAUUUGAGGCGGCCAACUUGAAAGACAAGCAACACCUUCGGUCCUUGCUAUUAUCAUGGAAAUUGGGUCUUGAUGGUGAUGAUGAUGUGGACAAUGGUGUAAAUGAUGAUGAAAUAUCAAUAGAAGAGCUGCAGCCGCACCGAAAUUUAAAAUGCCUGACAGUGAAUGGGUGUGGAAGAGUGAAGUUUCCGAGCUGGGUUUCUUCCCUUACUAAUUUGGUGAUCCUUGAGAUUGAUAACUGCAAAAAAUGCCAAUGUGUCCCAGCACUAGAUCAGUUCCCUUCCCUUCAAAGUUUGACAUUUAAGAACUUCUCUGAUUUGGAGUACAUAGAAAGUAAUGACAUGUCAGGAUCCACAUUAUUCUUUCCUUCACUAGAGAAACUCAUGCUCAUGAAUUGCCCAAAUCUGAAGGGAUGGUGGAGGGAAUCUUUAGUGCCUGAGUUGCUUCAAUUUCACCGUCUUGCUGAUUUGUGGAUUGAGUCUUGCUAUAGCUUGGCUUCAAUGCCAUUGAUUCCAUCUGUGGAAAGAUUGGAAGUGAGAAAUGCCAGCAUGAAGUCAUUGGAGGACAUACUGAA